AUAUAGGAUAAAUUGGAUAAUAGUAUAGUAGUUAGAUAUUUUACUAAUUAAAUUUUAAAUUAUAGAAAAAAAAUAAAAGAAAAAGGUUAAACCUUUUUUCUAUGGUGUCCUUGAAAAAAACAAAAAAAAAAAAAAAAAAAAAAAAAAAAAAAAAAAAAAUCUUGCAUUAUGUAUAUAGCAUCCGAACCCUAGUGUCGAUGGCGUGAACAAUAAGUUCCGUUUAAUCGCGUUCAACGGAGAAACUGUUUCAGAUUCACCUGUAUUUGACUGCUCUUUAUCUGUAAAUAAUGUCUUGUCGCAGAGGAAGUACGUGUGGUUCUCGAUCUUCUAGUUCGUCAUCCUCUUUUGGAUUCUCAGGAGGUAGUUCCUGGUUUCGAUCUUUUCAUUGGCCAUCCUUCUUCCGACGAAAGCCUAAGUCGAUUCUUCAAAUGCUCGGAAAUCCUGGAUCACUUCAUCCGGUUCAGGGGAAGAUUGGUUAUUUAACUGGUGCAAAGCAGGCCUAGAGGAAGAUGAUCCAACAUAUGCCGUUUGGGAUGCAGAAAAUUCCAUGAUUAUGUCAUGGCUAGUGAACUCCAUGGAAUCGGAGAUAUGCCAAACAUUUAUGUAUCUCUCCACUGCUAAAGAAUUAUGGGAGACAUACUCAGACUUGGGCAAUUCCGCACUAGUAUUUGAAAUUAAAACAAGGAUCCGAGAAACAAGACAGGGAGAUCAGACUGUUACAAAGUAUUACAACAUAUAACAAGGUUUGUGGCAAGAACUCGACCUCUUUUAUGAUUUUGAAUGGAACUGUACAGGUGAUAGUGGCCAGUUCAAGAAACAGUUAAGAAGGACCGUGUAUUUGACUUUUUAGCUGGACUCAAUGCUGAGUUAGACGAAGUAAGAGGAUGUAUUCUAGGCAAAGAGCCACUGCUUACCACUAGAGUAGUCUUCUCGGAAGUUUAGAGGGAAGAAAGCCGCAGGUUGGUGAUGAUGGGAAAGAAAUCCUCUAGCACUCAUAAUGAGAACUCUGCACUCAAUGUAACAACCACUGAAAUGGCAGCAGUUGCAGUUAAUCCAAAACCAACAAAUCACCCACAGCAGAAGAUUGAAGAGAAAACCAAGAUCUGGUGUGAUUUCUAUAACAAACCAAGGCACACGCGAGAAACAUGCUGGAAACUACAUGGAAAACCAGCAAAUUGGAAGGUAGGCAGAUUUGGAGACAAGAAUGGGCGUGGAAUGUAGGUUACUACUGAAACCGAGACAUCUCCAUUCACUAAGGAGCAACUUGAUCAUCUCUCCAAACUGCUGAACCAAACUCAGGUUUCAAGUGUCUCCUCAGGUUCUCUUGCCCAAAAAGGACCUAUAUUCGGGGAAGAUGAUUGGCAGUUCUAAGAUGGUUAAUGGACUCUAUUAUUUUGAUAAUGAAAUCUUCAAGAGUGGACAAGCUCAAGCUGCAAGUAGCAUUGGCAAUGAUACCUUAACUCAAGAAGUUGCUGCCAGCAGGAGUGCUUUCAUUGAUUGGGAUGCACUGUUUAAGGGUUUUCAUAAUUCCGAAGAGCACGACAGCAGCACUGUUUUUGCUUGCAAAAUGUUUGAGUUGUGGCUCAAAGAUUGCGGAAAGGAGUUUCCUAAUGAUGGCAUUGUAUGUGAGAGCGUACGCGAGUGCCUUUGAGAGCAAUGCAACUUUGGGCCUUUCCGCAAGUACCUUGAAGAGCCUGCUAACUCUGAAGAGCCUGGUAACACUGAAGAUGCUAAAUGAUUCCACAAUCCUCCCAGUCCAGUUUGAGGUUGAGUGCAAACUUUCAGUAUGGUCUUCAAGCAAUGGCAGCCGCAUCUUGAGCAACUGAAUGGAUGAAUAUUUUCUCUUCAAGCAAUGUUUAACAAGUCGUCAAAUUUUAUUUAUACAGAGAAAGACCUUCUGCUGCAAAUUUCUUUUUCUAUGCAUAUAAAUUUGGGUUGUGGAAUGCUAGGGCAGUAUAGAGCAAUUAAUUAUGUGAUAGUUUCUUAUGUGGUUCUAUUGACGAUCAAUUCUGUUUGAGCAUCUAUUGCGAGACCUCAUUUGGAGAGUUUUAUAACAAGUGGAGAGCCUGACGUGGUGUAAGCCACUCCAAUUUGUGGGGCCCACAUCAUAAUCUCCACUCAAUGCUCCAUAUUCAUAAUUGCACUUGAGAAAUUAGUCGAUUUAGUCAAUUUUUCUCUGCCUAA
This is an RNA transcript of Cornus florida, 2184 nucleotides long. RefSeq lists it as uncharacterized. The transcript is spliced from 8 exons. NCBI's taxonomy places the organism in Eukaryota, Viridiplantae, Streptophyta, Magnoliopsida, Cornales, Cornaceae. The record is from RefSeq and is a predicted model, not a curated record.